GGGGAAUAUUGGACAAUGGGCGCAAGCCUGAUCCAGCCAUGCCGCGUGUGUGAAGAAGGCCUUAUGGUUGUAAAGCACUUUAAGCGAGGAGGAGGCUACUUUAGUUAAUACCUAGAGAUAGUGGACGUUACUCGCAGAAUAAGCACCGGCUAACUCUGUGCCAGCAGCCGCGGUAAUACAGAGGGUGCAAGCGUUAAUCGGAUUUACUGGGCGUAAAGCGCGCGUAGGCGGCUAAUUAAGUCAAAUGUGAAAUCCCCGAGCUUAACUUGGGAAUUGCAUUCGAUACUGGUUAGCUAGAGUGUGGGAGAGGAUGGUAGAAUUCCAGGUGUAGCGGUGAAAUGCGUAGAGAUCUGGAGGAAUACCGAUGGCGAAGGCAGCCAUCUGGCCUAACACUGACGCUGAGGUGCGAAAGCAUGGGGAGCAAACAGGAUUAGAUACCCUGGUAGUCCAUGCCGUAAACGAUGUCUACUAGCCGUUGGGGCCUUUGAGGCUUUAGUGGCGCAGCUAACGCGAUAAGUAGACCGCCUGGGGAGUACGGUCGCAAGACUAAAACUCAAAUGAAUUGACGGGGGCCCGCACAAGCGGUGGAGCAUGUGGUUUAAUUCGAUGCAACGCGAAGAACCUUACCUGGCCUUGACAUAGUAAGAACUUUCCAGAGAUGGAUUGGUGCCUUCGGGAACUUACAUACAGGUGCUGCAUGGCUGUCGUCAGCUCGUGUCGUGAGAUGUUGGGU
Molecule: ribosomal RNA, 733 nt
Filed under: uncultured bacterium
Lineage: Bacteria
Description: bacterial SSU rRNA
Rfam family: Bacterial small subunit ribosomal RNA
Source: RNAcentral